GGAGAAGGUAAUAAGGGUUCACGGAGGAUGCCUAGGCGCUUAGAGCCGAUGAAGGGCGUGACCAGACGACGAUACGCCCGGGUGAGCGGUCAAGUACGCUAAGCCCGGGAUGCCCGAAUGGGGAAACCCGGCGGAGUGUUUAAGCUCCGUCAUCUCUGAGGAUUAAUGGGCUCAGAGAGGGGAACCGGGGGAACUGAAACAUCUCAGUACCCUGAGGAAAAGGAAGUAACAACGAUACCCUAAGUAGCGGCGAGCGAACGGGGUUCUGCCCAAACCAUGUAGACCUAACGGCCUGAGAGCUUAUGUCUAUGCGGGGUUGUGGGGCACUCUAGGGACAAUCUCAGUUGUCCCAGGGCGCAGGGGUUCGGCCAGUCGAAAGACCCUGGAACGGGCUGCCAUAGAAGGUGAAAGCCCUGUAGAUGAAGACUGGACCCCGGCCCAGAGUGUUCCCGAGUACCACGGGGCACGAGGAAUCCCGUGGGAAGCUGGGGGGACCACCCUCCAAGGCGAAAUACUCUAAGCGACCGAUAGUGAACCAGUACCGUGAGGGAAAGGUGAAAAGCACCCCGGAAGGGGAGUGUAAAGAC
Molecule: ribosomal RNA, 587 nt
Filed under: SAR202 cluster bacterium
Lineage: Bacteria; Bacillati; Chloroflexota; Dehalococcoidia
Description: partial 23S ribosomal RNA
Rfam family: Bacterial large subunit ribosomal RNA
Source: RNAcentral